GUGGGGAAUAUUGGACAAUGGGCGAAAGCCUGAUCCAGCCAUGCCGCGUGAGUGAUGAAGGCCUUAGGGUUGUAAAGCUCUUUCAGUAGGGAAGAUAAUGACGGUACCUACAGAAGAAGCCCCGGCUAACUUCGUGCCAGCAGCCGCGGUAAUACGAAGGGGGCUAGCGUUGUUCGGAGUUACUGGGCGUAAAGCGCACGUAGGCGGAUCGUUAAGUCGGGGGUGAAAUCCUGGAGCUCAACUCCAGAACUGCCUUCGAUACUGGCGAUCUUGAGUCCGGAAGAGGUGAGUGGAACUCCUAGUGUAGAGGUGGAAUUCGUAGAUAGUAGGAAGAACACCAGUGGCGAAGGCGGCUCACUGGUCCGGUACUGACGCUGAGGUGCGAAAGCGUGGGGAGCAAACAGGAUUAGAUACCCCAGUAGUCC
Molecule: ribosomal RNA, 425 nt
Filed under: uncultured bacterium
Lineage: Bacteria
Description: partial 16S ribosomal RNA
Rfam family: Bacterial small subunit ribosomal RNA
Source: RNAcentral